Molecule: transfer RNA, 60 nt
Filed under: Paralongidorus litoralis
Lineage: Eukaryota; Metazoa; Nematoda; Enoplea; Dorylaimida; Longidoridae
Description: tRNA-Leu
Source: RNAcentral
AUUAAUAUGGCAGAUUAGUGCACUGGGCUUAAGUUCCAGAUAUGGCUUCGCCUAUUAUUA